UGUGCACAUGUAAAAUAUCCAAUAAAAC
Molecule: non-coding RNA, 28 nt
Filed under: Cricetulus griseus (Chinese hamster)
Lineage: Eukaryota; Metazoa; Chordata; Mammalia; Rodentia; Cricetidae
Source: RNAcentral